CAGCCCUUUGUCGCUAAGAUUCGAC
This 25-nucleotide small RNA is filed under the name Arabidopsis thaliana (thale cress). RNAcentral describes it as "Ath_wt_07019". The record is from RNAcentral. Lineage: Eukaryota; Viridiplantae; Streptophyta; Magnoliopsida; Brassicales; Brassicaceae.